CUCUUGAGAGCGGCGGACGGGUGAGUAAUGCCUAGGAAUCUGCCUGGUAGUGGGGGAUAACGUUCGGAAACGGACGCUAAUACCGCAUACGUCCUACGGGAGAAAGCAGGGGACCUUCGGGCCUUGCGCUAUCAGAUGAGCCUAGGUCGGAUUAGCUAGUUGGUGAGGUAAUGGCUCACCAAGGCGACGAUCCGUAACUGGUCUGAGAGGAUGAUCAGUCACACUGGAACUGAGACACGGUCCAGACUCCUACGGGAGGCAGCAGUGGGGAAUAUUGGACAAUGGGCGAAAGCCUGAUCCAGCCAUGCCGCGUGUGUGAAGAAGGUCUUCGGAUUGUAAAGCACUUUAAGUUGGGAGGAAGGGCAGUUACCUAAUACGUGAUUGUUUUGACGUUACCGACAGAAUAAGCACCGGCUAACUCUGUGCCAGCAGCCGCGGUAAUACAGAGGGUGCAAGCGUUAAUCGGAAUUACUGGGCGUAAAGCGCGCGUAGGUGGUUAGUUAAGUUGGAUGUGAAAUCCCCGGGCUCAACCUGGGAACUGCAUUCAAAACUGACUGACUAGAGUAUGGUAGAGGGUGGUGGAAUUUCCUGUGUAGCGGUGAAAUGCGUAGAUAUAGGAAGGAACACCAGUGGCGAAGGCGACCACCUGG
RNAcentral lists this ribosomal RNA (650 nucleotides) under Pseudomonas sp. AE2B 263. Its description in RNAcentral is "bacterial SSU rRNA". It matches the Rfam family "Bacterial small subunit ribosomal RNA", at positions 86 to 732 of the family's 1533-position model. Lineage: Bacteria; Pseudomonadati; Pseudomonadota; Gammaproteobacteria; Pseudomonadales; Pseudomonadaceae. RNAcentral also lists the same sequence under 3 other names. The record is from RNAcentral.